GCAGUCGAGCGGACUUGAUGAGAAGCUUGCUUCUCUGAUGGUUAGCGGCGGACGGGUGAGUAACACGUAGGCAACCUGCCCUCAAGUUUGGGACAACUACCGGAAACGGUAGCUAAUACCGAAUAGUUGUUUUCUUCGCCUGAAGGAAACUGGAAAGACGGAGCAAUCUGUCACUUGGGGAUGGGCCUGCGGCGCAUUAGCUAGUUGGUGGGGUAACGGCUCACCAAGGCGACGAUGCGUAGCCGACCUGAGAGGGUGAUCGGCCACACUGGGACUGAGACACGGCCCAGACUCCUACGGGAGGCAGCAGUAGGGAAUCUUCCGCAAUGGGCGAAAGCCUGACGGAGCAAUGCCGCGUGAGUGAUGAAGGUUUUCGGAUCGUAAAGCUCUGUUGCCAGGGAAGAACGCUUGGGAGAGUAACUGCUCUCAAGGUGACGGUACCUGAGGAAGAAAGCCCCGGCUAAACUACGUGCCAGCAGGCCGCGGUAAUACGUAGGGGGAAAGCGUUGUCCGGAAAUUAUUGGGCGUAAAGCGCGCGCAGGCGGUCAUUUAAGUCUGGUGUUUAAUCCCGGGGCUCAAACCCCGGAUCGCACUGGAAAACUGGGUGACUUGAGUGCAGAAGAGGAGAGUGGAAUUCCACGUGUAGCGGUGAAAUGCGUAGAUAUGUGGAGGAACACCAGUGGCGAAGGCGACUCUCUGGGCUGUAACUGACGCUGAGGCGCGAAAGCGUGGGGAGCAAACAGGGAUUAGAUACCCUGGUAGUCCACGCCGUAAACGAUGAGUGCUAGGUGUUAGGGGUUUCGAUACCCUUGGUGCCGAAGUUAACACAUUAAGCACUCCGCCUGGGGAGUACGGUCGCAAGACUGAAACUCAAAGGAAUUGACGGGGACCCGCACAAGCAGUGGAGUAUGUGGUUUAAUUCGAAGCAACGCGAAGAACCUUACCAGGUCUUGACAUCCCUCUGACCGGUACAGAGAUGUACCUUUCCUUCGGGACAGAGGAGACAGGUGGUGCAUGGUUGUCGUCAGCUCGUGUCGUGAGAUGUUGGGUUAAGUCCCGCAACGAGCGCAACCCUUAUAUUUAGUUGCCAGCACUUCGGGUGGGCACUCUAGAUAGACUGCCGGUGACAAACCGGAGGAAGGUGGGGAUGACGUCAAAUCAUCAUGCCCCUUAUGACCUGGGCUACACACGUACUACAAUGGCCGGUACAACGGGCUGCGAAAUCGCGAGAUGGAGCCAAUCCCAACAAAGCCGGUCUCAGUUCGGAUUGCAGGCUGCAACUCGCCUGCAUGAAGUCGGAAU
This 1302-nucleotide ribosomal RNA is filed under the name Paenibacillus tylopili. RNAcentral describes it as "bacterial SSU rRNA". It matches the Rfam family "Bacterial small subunit ribosomal RNA", at positions 57 to 1332 of the family's 1533-position model. The record is from RNAcentral. Lineage: Bacteria; Bacillati; Bacillota; Bacilli; Caryophanales; Paenibacillaceae.